AGACUUUCCCGAAGCGGAUCCUCUGUUUGGCCCACCACCCAGGACAAUGGAUCGCAUCCCAGCCGGCGACCCAAAACAACGGCGCCGCAGAAGGGGCAGACGGAGCGGUCUUCUGGUCAGGCUCCGUAGACGGGCACAUCACGCACCGCUCCCGAGCAUACUACUCGCCAAUGUCCAGUCUCUUGACAACAAGGUAGACGAAAUCCGAGCAAGGGUUGCCUUCCAGAGAGACAUCAGAGAUUGUAACGUUCUUUGUUUCACGGAAACAUGGCUCACUUGGGAUACGUUAUCAGAGUUGGUACAGCCACCCGGUUUCUUCACGCAUCGCGCCGACAGAAACAAACAUCUCUCUGGUAAGAAGAAGGGCGGGGUGUAUGCCUUAUGAUUAACGAGACGGGGUGUGAUCAUAACAACAUACAGGAACUCAAGUCCUUUUGUUCACCUGACUUAGAAUUCCUCACUAUCAAAUGCUGACCGCAUUAUCUACCAAGAGAAUUCUCUUCAAUUAUAAUCACAGUCGUGUAUAUCCCCCCCAAGCAGACACAUCGAUGGCCCUGAACAAACUUCAUUGGACACUAUGUAAACUGGAAACCACAUAUCCUGAGGCUCCAAACAGCAAGUAAUGCUUCUACACCUGCAUUACUUGCUGUUUGGGAGGUUAAGCUGGGUUUCUGUACAGCACUUUGAGAUAUCAGCUGAUGUAAGAAGGGCUAUAUAAAUACAUUUGAUUUGAUUUGAUUUAUUGUAGCUGGGGAUUUUAACAAGGCUAAUCUGAAAACAAGGCUCCCUAAAUUUUAUCAGCAUAUCGAAUGCGCGACCCGGGCUGGCAAAACCCUGGAUCAUUGUUAUUCUAACUUCCGUGAUGCAUACAAAGCCCUCCCCCGCCCUCCUUUGGGAAAAUCUGACCACGACUCCAUUUUGUUGCUCCCAGCCUAUAGGCAGAAACUAAAACAGGAAACGCCCGUGCUCAGGUCUAUUCAACGCUGGUCCGACCAAUUGGAUUCCACGCUUCAAGAUUGCUUCGAUCACGUGGACUGGGAUAUGUUCCGCAUAGCGUCGGACAACAACAUUGAUGAAUACGCUGAUUCGGUGAGCGAGUUUAUUAGCAAGUGCAUCGGUGUUGUUGUACCCACAGCAACUAUUAAAACCUUCCCCAACCAGAAACCGUGGAUUGAUGGCAGCAUUCGCGCAAAACUGAAAGCGCGAACCACUGCUUUUAAUCAGGGCAAGGCGACCAGAAACAUGACCGAAUACAAACAGUGUAGCCAUUCCCACCACAAAGCAAUCAAACAAGCUAAGCGUCAGUAUAGAGACAAAGUAGAGUCGCAAUUCAACGGCUCAGACACGAGAGGUAUGUGGCAGGGUCUACAGUCAAUCACGGACUACAAAAAGAAAACCAGAACCGUCGCGGACCACGAUGUCUUGCUCCCAGACAAACUAAACAACUUCUUUGCUCACUUUGAGGACAAUACAGUGCCACCGACACGGCCAGCUACCAAAACCUGCGGUCUCUCCUUCACUGCAGCCAACAUGAGUAAAACAUUUAAAAGUGUUAACCCUCGCAAGGCUGCUGGCCCAGACGGCAUCCCUAGCCGCUUCCUCAGAGCAUGCGCAGACCAGCUGGCUGGUGUGUUUACGGACAUAUUCAAUCAAACCUUAUCCCAGUCUGCUGUUCCCACAUGCUUCAAGAGGGCCACCAUUGUUCCUGUUCCCAAGAAAGCUAAGGUAACUGAGCUAAAUGACUACCGCCCCGUAGCACUCACUUCCAUCAUCAUGGAGUGCUUUGAGAGACUAGUCAAGGACCAUAUCACCUCCACCCUACCUGACACCCUAGACCCAAUCCAUUUGCUUACCGCCCCAAUAGGUCCACAGACGACGCAAUCGCAAUCACACUGCACACUGCCCUAACCCAUCUGGACAAGAGGAAUACCUAUGUAAGAAUGCCGUUCAUUGACUAGAGCUCAGUAUUUAACACCAUAGUACCUUCCAAACUCAUCAUUAAGCUCGAGACCCUGGGUCUCGACCCCGCCCUGUGCAACUGGGUCCUGGACUUGCUGACGGGCCACCCCCAGGUGGU
This 2077-nucleotide long non-coding RNA is filed under the name Salmo salar (Atlantic salmon). RNAcentral describes it as "lncRNA (ENSSSAG00000003337.2)". Lineage: Eukaryota; Metazoa; Chordata; Actinopteri; Salmoniformes; Salmonidae. The record is from RNAcentral.